Molecule: ribosomal RNA, 96 nt
Filed under: uncultured bacterium
Lineage: Bacteria
Description: partial 16S ribosomal RNA
Source: RNAcentral
CCGCGUGAGUGAGGAAGGCCUUAGGGUUGUUAAAGCUCUUUCGGCGGGGACGAUGGAUCGACGGUACCCGCCAGAAGAAGCCCCGGCUAACUCGUG